AUUAACCCAAGUAAUCUGCUGUCAGACCGAUCGUUGCAGCUACAAAUGUUCCAGACUAACAUGAAGCCUUGCAGGUGUAGUAAAGCUUAUUGCUUCACGUGUGUUGCUGCUGCAAGCUUGGAGCUAGAUUACAUCAUGACAUCAUGAAGGAGGCAACUGAUUCUGGCCCUGUGACACUUGGUGACGUGUGAGCUGAUUCAUCUGGUAAACAACAUGUAAAUCAAAUAUUUUGUUCUUUGCUAUCAAAAGUAAAUUAACAAAUAACUUGCAUUAUUGCAGGACAGUCAGCAAAAUAUGGACUCUACACCAUGAGGCAGGCACACGUUAAUACUUUAUAAGAGCACAUAAGCAUGAGGAUGUCCUCACACACCUGUAACCUAUCAGCUCAUCUGGCAGAAUAGAGAGAGAAGAGACAACACCAC
Molecule: non-coding RNA, 422 nt
Organism: Nothobranchius furzeri (turquoise killifish)
Lineage: Eukaryota; Metazoa; Chordata; Actinopteri; Cyprinodontiformes; Nothobranchiidae
Source: RefSeq, a predicted model, not a curated record